Molecule: long non-coding RNA, 789 nt
Filed under: Brassica napus (rape)
Lineage: Eukaryota; Viridiplantae; Streptophyta; Magnoliopsida; Brassicales; Brassicaceae
Description: long non-coding RNA (BNAP_LNC005071)
Source: RNAcentral
CCAAUAUUUACAAAGCAGCGUGGUCCUGCACCAUGGACGUGCAUCUUCAACCCCACAGGAGCCGAAGUGCGAGAAUCAGCUGCUGAUUGGCUCUUGGCUUUUGCUUCAUCUGUUGACCAAUUCGCAAGGACUAUUUUCCAGUCAUUCUCACUGAUGUAUUUAGGUUGCUUGUUCUUUUUCCUUUUUUGGCUUAUGCGUCCGCAGAUAGUCACUUGAGUCUGAAGCUUCCACGCAGUUGAGCAAGUUUGGCUAUCUCCAUCUGGAGAACCAUCUUCUAACAUCUCUUCAACUGCUUGCUCAACCUCUAGAACCAGUUGCUCAGUUCGUUCGUCCAUGAAGGUCCCGUCUUUGCGAGUAUGUGUCUUGCUUGCAAGGUCUGUAUAUGAAGGUAGUGUAUCCAAACCUUGGUCGAUCAUCUACAACAAAGGAACAACAGAAAGUUAGACUUUUAGCAGUUAAAUAAAUAAAAAAAAUGCAAGUAAGACAAGUUGGAAAGCUGACCAUACGAUACCCAAUAUUUACAAAGCAGCGUGGUCCUGCACCAUGGACGUGCAUCUUCAACCCCACAGGAGCCGAAGUGCGAGAAUCAGCUGCUGAUUGGCUCUUGGCUUUUGCUUCAUCUGUUGACCAAUUCGCAAGGACUAUUUUCCAGUCAUUCUCACUGAUGUAUUUAGGUUGCUUGUUCUUUUUCCUUUUUUGGCUUAUGCGUCCGCAGAUAGUCACUUGAGUCUGAAGCUUCCACUUAAAGUGGAUUUCCUCAUGAAGACUGUCUUCCCAGUAGUAUUGUUG